RNAcentral lists this small nuclear RNA (107 nucleotides) under Moschus moschiferus (Siberian musk deer). Lineage: Eukaryota; Metazoa; Chordata; Mammalia; Artiodactyla; Moschidae. The record is from RNAcentral.
GUGCUCGCUUCGGCAGCACAUAUGCUAAAAUUGGAAGGAUACAGAGAAGAUUAGCAUGACCCCUGCACAAGGAUGACGGGCAAAUUCGUGAAGCAGUCCGUAUUUUU